GUUAGACUUUGAGACUUGUAGGAAAACACUCCAAACAAAGGCCUUAAGACAAAUCUACCAGUUGAGGUAGGAAAUCCACUGAGAUAUUUAGUAGACAGAACUUGAUAAUUUCUUUCCUUUCAUAUUUUCAUUUUAGAUCUUCAGAACUUUUAUUCAGGGGAGAAAGGCCCAGGUAGCUGCUGCUGUUCAGCUUAAGGCUAAUCUGACCUUCUAUAACAGGAGUUCAAGUCCCAGAAAUCCCUAGUCCUCCAUCAGAGAUACACAUGUUGGAAUUCAUCAAGAAAACAACCUGACCCAUGGAGAAUGGAGAAAAGCAGGGCAGGACAACCGCCCACACGGGAGAAACAUGGAGCCAGGGGAACCUCCCCAUCCAGGGAAGCCGCUCUGAAAAGUCCUCUGUGAGUACCAGGGGCUGGUCCAGACCCCCAGCACAGAGCGCCCACCUUAGAAAAGCGGUCAGACUGUUCCCCACAAGUCCCAGUCCUCACUGCAUAGGGCUGCCCGACCUGAGACUCCAGCACCACCAUCCUGUUUCCGCCUGACCACUUCAAUCAGAGGCACCCCCGCAUUUCUUCGAAGAGGAAAUAAAUACCAGAGUGAACCCACAAACCUUCGCCUCUGCAGUUGCAGUGGUACUGCCCUAACAGACCUCAGGCUGGGGAAGGAACAAAGGUCCCAGUCACUACACUGGUAUCUUUAGUGCACCGCAGCCACCAUAUGGAAAGGAGUUCAGUUUCUCUUUCCUGGGAAUCCCCACCCGCUACUCUUCACCAGGCAGGGCCCCUGGUUCAUGACCACAGAACAGUCACGUCACCCACAGCUGAGCAAACCCACCGGUAGUGGCCUGGAGUUUCCCUGGGGAAAAGCUCUCAGAGGUAUAUGACAGUCUCUCCACCACAGUGACCACAUGGAGAGGAGACCAUUAUCUCCUCUCAGUGAGCCCUUGAACCCCUGCUCCCCAACAAGUGGAGCCUCCAACUCACACCAGCAGUGCAGCCACCCACCUCACUGGCUGAACAUUCCCAGUAACAGUGACUCUGCAUUUCUUGGGGUUGGAGCCCUCAGGGGCAACCAAAAGCCUCUCUGCCACUGCCUCUGUAGUAGUACUACCCCUACUACCUUUAGACUAAUUAAACAGCAAAGACCCUAAGUGCCUCAUCCACACCCCCAACAAGCUGCAGUUAACCCAAGGAGAGGAGACCAGUCCAUCUCCCACAGGUCCCAUCCACCCCUGCUGCUUGUCACCAGGGAACCCCCCAGCUUGGACCCACAGUACAGAUCACCCAUCUUGGGCCUAUCACACUGAGCAAUUGCUGACCUGCAUCUCUGUGGAGUGGAGCCCCCAGGAGACAAGUAAAAGACCCCCAGCCACAACCACUGCUAAGGUCCUUCUCUCUGCUGCCUCCAAGCUGGGGAGGAAACAUAAACCCUGAGAUCUCCCCAGAGCUGUGGUGGGCAGCCUAGGAGUGCCAAGUCUCAAUCUGUAGCCAGCACUCAAAUGGGAGAGGAGUCCACACUUUCAGAGCAUUGAGAGGUAGCCCAGCUGCAACCAUGAGGAAAUAUAGAGGAGUCACAUGACUGGGAAAGAGUCUACCUACUGACCACUACUUCACAAAACCCCUCAUUUCCUUCUGUCCUCCCUAAAGCCUCUCAGUUUUGAAUCUCAUGUCUUCAAAUUGUAUCACCCACUGGCCUCCAUGAAGCGCCUAAGCACCACCUACUGGAUCACACCCCGCAGCUUCAACACCAAAAAGUUAGAAAGACUUCAAAUUAACAACCUAACAUCACAACUAAAAGAACUACAGAACCAAGAGCAAACCAAUCCCAAAGCUAGCAGAAGACAAAAAAACACAUGCUUAUCUCAACAGAUGUAUCUCACUAACAUACCCGCCCUGUAAAACCAAAGAUAAGAAGUCAGCUGCAAAUAAAGACCUCGCACAAAGCCUCAGCCCUGUGAAAAUAUUCAGGAAAAAAGUCUUCUGACUGUACUCAAUCUAUGCUGCAGUUAAAGGAACACCCAUACACAGAGAUGAGAAAGAACCAAUGUAAGAACUCUGGCAACUCAAAUGACCAGUGUCUUAUGUACUCCAAACAAUAGCACCAGUUCUCCAAUGAGGGUUCUUAAACAGGCUGAGUUGGCUGAAAUGACAGAAAUAGAAUUCAGAGUAUAGAUAGGAAUGAAGAUCAUUGAGAUUUAGGAGAAGAGGAAAACACAAUCCAAGGAAACUAAGAAUCACAAUAAAAUGAUAAAGGAGCUGACAGGCAAAAUCGCCAGUAUUAAAAAGAAACCUAACUGAUCUGAUAGAGCUGAAAAGCACACUGCAAGAAUUUCACAAUGCAAUCGCAAGUAUUAACAGCAGAAUAGACCAAGCUGGGGAAAGAAUCUCAGAACUUGAAGACUGGCUCUCUGAAACAAGACAGCCAGACAAAAAUAAAGAAAAAAAGAAUGAAAAUGAAUGAACAGAAACUCCAGAAAAUAUAGGAUUAUGUAAGGAGGCCAAAUCUAUAAAUCACUGGCAUCACUGAAAGAGAUGGGGAGAAAGCAAACCACUUGGAAAACACAUUUUAGGAUAUCACUCAUGAAAACUUCCCUCACCUUGCCAGAGAGGCCAACAGUCAAAUUCAGUAAAUACAGAGAACCUGUACAAUAUUCUACUCAAGAAGAUCAUCCCCAGGACAUGUAAUUGUCAGAUUUUCCAAAAUUGAAAUGAGAGAAUGUUAAAGGCAGCUAGAGAGAAAAGGCAGGGCAUCUAAAAGGGAAUCCCAUCAGGCUAACAGUAGACCUCUCAGCAGAAACUCUACAAGCCAGAAGAGAUUGGGGGCCUAUAUUCAACAUUCUUAAAGAAAAACAUCUUCAACCAAUAAUUUCAUAUCCAGCCAAACUAAGCUUCUUAAGUGUAUUAGUUCAUUCUCACACUGCUAGCAUACUACCUGAGAUUGGGUAAUUUAUAAAGAAAGAGGUUUAAUUGGCUCAUACUUAUGCAUGGCUAAGAGGCCUCAGGAAACUUAAAACCAUGGCAGAAGGUAAAGGGGAAGCAAGGCACAUCUUACAUAGCAGCAGGAGAGAGAGAGUGUGUGUGCAUGGGAAACUGCCACUUUUAAGCCAUCAGAUCUCAUGAGAACUCCCUCACUAUUAUGAGAACAGCACUGGUGGGGGGGAACUGCCUCUAUGAUCCAAUCACCUCCCACCAGGUCCCUCCCUCGACAUGUGGAGAUAAGAUUUGGGUAGGGACAUGGAGCCAAACUCUAUUAAUAAGCAAAGGAGAAAUAGCCAAAUAAGCAAAUGCCAAGGGAGUUCAGACCCACCUUACAACAGAUCCUGAAAGGAACAUUAAAUAUGGAAAGGAAAGACUGUUACCAGCCAAUACAAAAACAUGUUUAGGUACACAGACCAGUGACACUAUAAAUCAACCACACAAGCAAGUCAGCAUAAUAACCAGCUAACAACACAGUGACAGGAUUAAAUCCACAUGUAUCAAUACUAACCUUGAAUAUAAAUGGGAUCAAUGCCCCUCUUAAAAGGCACAGAGGCCAGGCAUGGUGGCUCAUGCCUGUAAUCUCAGCAAUUUGGAAGGUCGAGGCAGGUGGAUCACCUGAGGUCAGGAGUUUGAGACCAGCCUGGCCAACUUGAGGAAACCCUGUCUCUACUAAAAAUACAAAAAAUUAGCCAGGCAUGGUGGCAGGUGCCUGUAAUCCCAGCUACUUGGGAGGCUGAGGCAGGAGAAUUUCUUAAACCCAGGAGGCAGAGGUUGCAGUGUGCUGAGAUUGCACUACUGCACUCCAGCCUGGGCAACAAGAACGAAACUCUGUCUAAAAAAUAAAUAAAUAAGUAGGCCAGGCACAGUGGCUCACGCCUGUAAUCCCAGCACUUUGGGAGGCCGAGUUGGGCGGACCAUGAGGUCAGGAGAUGGAGACCAUGCUGGCUAACAUGGUGAAACCCCGUCUCUACUAAAAAUACAAAAAAAUUAGCCUGGCGUGGUGGUGGGUACCUGUAGUCCCAGCUACUUUGGAGGCUGAGGCAGGAGAAUGGCAUGAACCUAGGAGGCAGAGCAUGCAGUGAGCUGAGAUCAUGCCACUGCAAUCCAACCUGGGUGACAGAGCGAGACUCCGUCUCAAAAAAUAAAUAAAUAAAUAAAUAAGUAAAAAUAAAAAAUAAAAGGUACACAGUGGCAAACUGGAUAAAAAAGCAAUACUCAGUGGUAUGUUGUCUUCAAGAGACCCAUCUCACAUGCAAUGACACAAAUAGGCUUGAAACAAAGAGAUGGAGGAAAAUCUAUGAAGCAAAUGGAAAUGAGGAAAAAGCAGGGGUUGCAAUCCUAGUUUCAGACAAAACAGACUUUAAACCAACAAAGAUUUUUAAAAAAAGGCAAAGAAGGGUGUUACAUAAUGAUCAAGGUUUUAAUUCAACAAGAAGACCUAACUUUCCUAAAUGUAUACACACCCAAUGCAGGAGCAUCCAAAUUUAUAAAGCAAGUUCUUAGAGACCUUCAAAGAGACUUAGACUCCCAGACGAGAAUAGUGGGAGACUUUAACACUCCACUGAUAGUACUAGACAGAACACUCAGGCAGAAAAUUAACAAAGAUAUUCAGGACCCGAACUCAACAUUGGGCCAAAUGAAUUUCAUAGAUCUCUACAGAACUUUCCAUCCCAAAACAACAGAACAUCCAUCUUCUCAUCACCACAGGGCACAUACUCUAAAAUCAACCACACUAUUGGACAUAAAACAAUCCUCAGCAAAUGCAAAAGGACCAAAUCAUACCAAAAACACUCUUGGACCACAGAACAAUAAAAAUAGAAAUCAAGACUAAAAAGAUAGCCCAAGCCAUGCAAUUACAUGAAAAUUAAACAACGUGCUCCUGAAUGACUUUCAGGUAAAUAAUAAGAUUAAGGCAAAAAUCAAGAAGUUAUUUGCAACUAAUGAGAAAAAUGAUAAAACAUAUCAGAAUCUCUGGGACACAGCUAAGGCGGUGUUAAGAGAGAAAUUUAUAGCACUAAACACCCACCCAAAAAGUUAGAAAGACUUCAAAUUAACAACCUAAUAUCACAACUAAAAGAACUACAGAACCAAGAGCAAACCAAUCCCAAAGCUAGCAGAAGACAAAAAAAAGUGCUUAUGUUAAUAGAUGUAGAAAAGACAUUUGAUAAAAUUCAACACCCCUUCAUGUUAAAAACUCUCUAUAAACUUGGUAUUGAAGUAACAUACCUCAAAAUAGUAAGAGCAAUCUGUGAAAAACCCGCAGCCAACAUCAUACUGAAUGGGCAAAAGCUGGAAGCAUUCCCCUUGAAAACUAGCACAAGACGAGGAUGGCCUCUCUCACUGCUCCUAUUCAAAGUGGCUACAUAAUCUUGGAACCAAAGAGAAAUCUGGCGAGUGGAGUCAGUGACUUUUAAAAAUUAUCUUCAGGCCAGGAGCGGUGGCUCAUGCCUGUAAUCCCAGGACUUUGGGAGGCUGAGGCAGGCGGAUCACCUGAGGUCAGAAGUUCAAGACCAGCCUGGUCAACAUGGCAAAACCCCAUCUCUACUAAAAAUACAAAAAAUUAGCUGGGCAUGGUGGCUCGUGCCUGUAGUCCCAGCUACCUGGGAGGCUGAGACAUGAGAAUCGCUUGAACCCAGGACGCAGAGGUUGCAGUGAGCCAAGAUCGUGCCACUACCCUCCAGCCUGGGCAACAGUGUGAGACUCUGUCUCAAAAAAAAAAACAAAAAAAUUAAAAAAAAUUAUCUUCAGGUUUUAUAAGGAAUCAGAAUAUAAAAGGAUAUGAAGGGAAGUCCUUCAAUAAUCACAAGUGAUGCAAUGGAUGAAACACAGAGAAGGUAGAGCUAGGAAAGUUCCCACCCAAUCUCCAAGUGCGUCUGUUAACAACAAUAAACACAAAUUCAUAUGAGAAUGUUCCUUAUUGUUUUAAAUAUAUAUUACUGAAAAGCUAAAGGACCCCACUGCAUAGUGGCUAAUCUCUGAUUUUUAGAAUGACUCCAGGUAGGUGGGGAAUAAGUCAAGAGGGAUGUAAUAUGUACUCUGAGUUUUAAAUUAUGAUUAAAUUGAUAUCACCAAAUUCUUAUGUUCAUGAAAAACUCCAUAGUAAAGGUGAAUACUCAAAAUUUUCCUCAAGUUACUAAAAGUUAUCAUCAAUAAAAUUCUUAACAGAGAAGAACAAGCAAACUAGCAAAAAAGAACGACAACAACAAAAAAUAACUUCUAGAAUGUAUUUAUACUGGAGUAAGCAAAUAGAGAAAGACUUAAGCCUGCGUGUGCCUAGAUUAACUGGCAAAAUCUGCUUUAAGUAUUCUUGGCGUAGUCUGAAAAGGAUUCAUGUACUUAAGGUCCAAAUCUCAGAAGGAAAAAAAAAUGCCAGUAACACUGUUUCAUGCUGGGUUCCCUCAUACCUUCCUCAUGUUUAAAUAAAACAAGGUCAGGAGUUAGAGACCAGCCUGCAAUGCUGCAAUGAUUUUUUUCCAUUGUAUAUGUGUUUAUUUGUGUGUUCCUGUGAGCAUUUGCAUGCUUAUGUGUUCCACUUCCUUAUCAAAUCUGAGAUGUGCCUGAUUUCCCAGAAUUAGCUAUGUUCUAAAGUGACCCUAAGCUUUUUUUUUUAACAUAGUGCUUUCACUUUUGUUUCUCCUUAUUACAAAUGGAAUCAUAAAAAUUUAGAGUUUGAAGGAUAGUAACUUCUUAUUUUACAGAUCCAGAACAUUAGGACUAGUGGUUUGCUCGAGCCCUCCUGAGCUCCAUACAAAGCUCUUUUUGCAAAAUUUUAUUCUGGAUUUAAAUGUUAGGUAAAAUUCCAUACUCUUCUAUUAUUUGAUUAAAGUUAUAACUACACUUGAAGCCAUCUGGGAGUCAGUUAUAUUAAGAUCAUUGUCCACAAACAAAAAAUAUAUUCAAAGAACAACUUAGAACAGUGUCCCCCUACCAAUUAGAUAUGAUAUUCAAAAUAUUUAGUAACUGGCAGGGCAUAGUCACUGACGCAUUGACACAGACACCGCUGUCAACACCUGGUCUGAUUGAAGCAUGCAAACUAGGGAAAUAACAACCCUUUUUCCAACCCCUUCCAGAAAAUUCAGAGUUCGGUGAAAUGAAUCAGAAAUGAAUACUUAAAAGAUUUGACAAAAUUACAAAGAAAAAAGGAUAUAUACUUGAACGUAAGAUAUCUAAUAGUCUAUUAAUUAGGAAUUAACUACUAACACUUAAAUACAGAGUCAGUCUAACAUAUCAGCCAUAACUAUAUCAGCCAGGACAGAUAUCCAGCACAAAAUUACUCAGGCAAAAGAAAAAAUUUAUUUGUUUGCGCAAUCCAAAAGUCCCAGGAGUGUCUUCUGGUACAGUUUAAUCCAGAUGAUCAAGAGAUAAAAUCAGGACUGGGUGCGGUGGCUCAUGCCUGUAAUCCUAGUACUUUGAGAGGCCAGGACAGGCAGACCAGACUUGAGGCUAGGAGUGUCAGACCAGCCUGGCCAACAUAGCAAAACCCCAUCUCUACUAAAAAUACAAAAAUUAGCCGGGCGUGGUGUUGUGCGCCUGCUCGGGAGGCUGAGGCAUGAGAAUCGCUUGAACCCCCAGAAGGCGGAGGUUGCAGUGAGCCAAGAUUACACCACUCCAUUCCAGCCUGGGCAAUACAGUGACACUCUGUCUGAAAAAAAAAAAAAAAAAGAGAGAGAGAUAAAAUCAGAAAUGUCUCAGUGUUGGCUUCAUUCUCAGCAGAUUCUUCCUAAAUAGGAGUAAGAUUGCCAUUAUAGUCCAGGAUUAUAGUCUACCAUGUUAGCAAAGAAGGAGAAAGGAAGUGAUCUUUUCUGACUCUAACAAAUCUUCCAGAGCUGACUCUUUCUCACUGGAUUAAUUUGGGUUACCUGCCAUUCCUAAGCCAAUAAUGCUUCUGACUGGACCUGGGGAUAGAAUCAGUUCCACUGAAAUUUCAUGAAUGAAAUAAGGAAAGGUGGUUCCCUCAAAGAUAAAUCUAAGUGUGAAUACCAAAAAGAAGAAUGGAUACUGGAUAGACCAAAACUGUAGAUAUCUACCAAGUGCGUCUCUCAGCAGCCCAACUUCCACAUUCAUCUUUUUCCUCAUAUAAACAAUCAUCAGAAUUCUCCCCACUAAUACAAUUCACCCAUCAGCAUACAACCAAAAAUACAUAGAGUUUCUCUUCUAGGAAGGGAGAUAGCCUCAAGUUGCACCAGUUCUUGCAUACAAGUUCCAGGAUCUCUGGGAGAUGCACAUUUCUCUCUAGACUUUAUGUUAAUGGCAUCUGGACUAAAUGACGUAUUUAUUCAUCCUCUAUACUCCCAGUGUAAAAUAAUGGAGGGGAAACGUCAUAAUAAAAAUUCCUUUUGCAAAUGGGAAAACGGGGAAACAAAAUUCAAAGGACACUGCUUUGUUGCAUCAAUAAAUGCUGCUAAACCAGGAUAGCAACUAUAUCCUGCCAAGACAGUAGAGCAAGUUUCUAAAUCAACCAACUUGGCUUUCCCCAGUCCUGCAAGCUAACCAUUGAUCUUAGCUAAGAUGGGCACCAGUGAGAACCCGCUUUCUGAGGGAUGCACUGUAUUAGUCUGUUUCCAGUUGGUGUAAGUUCUAAGGGUUGGGAUUUGCAACAGGGGGUGUAUUUUUGCAGGUUUUUGCUCUUAUUUUUUUCUUUCUUUCUUUUUUUUUUUUUUUUUUUUUUGAGACAGAGUCUCGCUGUGUUGCCCAGGCUGGAGUGCAGUGGCGCGAUCUAGGCUCACUGCAAGCUCCACCUCCCAGGUUCAUGUCAUUCUGGUUUUUGCUUUCUUAAGUAAUAGGCUUGGAAUUUAUCCCGGAAUACAUCUCUUAAAGUUUGUUAGCCUCUGUUGACUUAUAUUUGUUCAGUUCCACAGAUCUGGUUAGUUAUGACUCUUGCAUUAAGAGCUUAAUCUGAGGGAUUCUGUCAUAUGCCAACAAGUUCCAGUGCUUUGUCCAUUCUGUAAGUUUUCAGCAUUCGACCUGGAGAGGGCAUCUUGGCAGUGCAAACCUGUAGCCUGGAUUGGAGAAGAACAGCUCUCCUUUCCCCUACCCCACAUUAUACUUCAUGGAAUGGUUUUAACAAUGGUGGUAGUUGCCAACUUUGUCAAUAAAUAGAGCCCCAAAGGAUAUGUUGGAGACUGAGAGACUGAAGAAUCAAACAUCCCCAGAUCUCAGUCUUGUAUCUAACCACGUUUUCACCCUGAUUUGAUUCCUCUUACUUUAGCUUGGUGCCGAGAAUACAGGUUUCAACCACAUUGGAUUUCUGGACACAGGCAAGAUGUAUCUUUCUUAGAAAAGCUUUAAUUUUCUUCCCUUACCACUAGCCUUUCAGGUAGGCCACAUUUGAGAGAUGUUUGUCAUUGAUAAGACUUUACUGAUGUUUGCAGAAAGUGGUCAACACAUAAUAUCCUGAUAUUUCCCCACUAGAUCCCCCCAAAUCAGGCCUUGGUAUAAGGAUAUGGUCUGAUUUUAUUUAAAAACAAGCUGGGAAAAAUACCUGCAAAGGACAUAUUUGAUAAAGAACUGUUAUCUGAAAUUUACAAAGAACUCUUAAAACUCAAAAAUAAGGAAACAAAUAACUAAAUAAAAUAGGCAAAAGACCUCAACAGAUACCUCAUCAAAUAAGAUAUCCCAAUGUCAAACAUGCAUAUGAAGAGAUAUUCAACACCAUAUGUCAUUAAGGAAUUGCAAGCUAAAACAGCAAUGAGAUGCUACUGCAUGCCUGUUAGAAUGGCCCAUAUCCAAAACACUAAUGACACCAAAUGCUGACAAGAUUGUGGAGCAAUGUUGGUGGGAAGUCAAAAUCGUACAGACAUUUUGAAAGACAGUAUGAUAGAGGGAAUGCUCACGUCUCCCUAAAAUUCAUAUGUUGAAAUCCUAUCCCCCAUGAUGAUGGUAGGGAGUGGGAUCUUUGGGAGUGAAUAGAUCAUGAGAGCAGGGCCCUCAUGAAUGGAAUUAGCAGCCUUGUAAAAAAAAAAAAAGAAGACCCAAGAGCUAGCAAGUUCUUUCUGCCAUAUUAGGACACAGCCAGAAGACACCAUCUAUGAACCAGAGAGCAGGCUCUCACCCAAUACCAAAUCUGCCACUGCUUUGAUCUUAGACUUCUCAGCCUCCAGAACUGUGAGAAAUAAAUUUCUGUUAUUUUGGUAUUUGUUAGCUACCCAGUUUAUAGUAUUUUGUUAUAGCAGCCCAAACAGACUAAGAGAGACAAUUUGGCAGUUUCUUAUAAGUCUAAACAUGUUCUUACUAUGUGAGUCAGCAAUCAUAUCCUUGGAAUUUGCCCAAAGGACUUGAAAACUCAUGUCCACACAAAAAGUUGCAUAUGGAUGUUUACAGCAGCCUUAUUCAUAACUGUGAAAACUUGGAAGCAACCAAGAUUUUCUUCAGUGGACGAGAGGGUAAAAAAAGUGUGGUACAUCCAGACAAUUGAAUAUUAUUCAGCACUAAAACCAAAUGAGCUAUCAAGCCAUGUAAAGACACGGAGGAAAUUUAAGUGCAUAUUGCCAAGUGAAAGAAGCCAAUCUGAAAAGGCUACAUACUAUAUGAUUCCAACUAUAUGCCAUUCCGGAAAAGGCAAAACUAGGGAAACAGUAAAAAGAUGAGUAGUUUCCAGGAGUUAGUGGGGAGACAGAGAUAAAUAGGUGAAGCACAGGGGAUAUUUAGUGCAUCGGAACUAUUUUGUAUGAUACUACAAUGGUGGAUACAUGUCAUUAGAUAUUUAUCAAAAUCCAUAAGAUGACCAACACCAAGAGUGAAGCCUCAUGCAAACUAUGGACCUUGGGUGAUAAUGAUUCAUUAUAACAAAUGUGCCACUCUGGUGUGGAAUGUUGAUAGUGGGAGAGGCUAAGCAGUUGUAGGGGCAGGGAAUAUAUGGGCACUCUAUUUCCUGAUCAAUUUUUCUGUGCAUCUAAAAAUGAACCUAAAAAAUAAGGUCUACUAAACAACAACAACAAGAGGUGACAGUUUAGUUGACUGUUUGCUAUCACCUAUCAAGGAUCUUCCCUUCUCAGCCAGGAUAGGAAGAUUUCCACCCUCCUGUGAUACAUCUUGUCUUGUACAAAUCCAAUUUAGGGUUUGUCCCAUGUAAAACUUCAUUUCCAUAGACUAACUUCUAGAAUAAAGACUUCUUGAGUCAUUCAGAAACCUAACUCAAACUGGCUCAAUUGAAUGUGAGAAUGUAUCAGUUUAUGUAACUAAAAAGUCUAGGGACUAAGAUAAGGCUGCAUUCAGGCAUAAUUAAAUCCAAGUACUUAAAAGAUGCAGUCAGAAAUCAAUCUCCUCUCUCUCUCUGUCUCUCAGUCUUCCACUCCAUCUCCCACCUCCAUGUUGACCUCAUUCUUAUGAGACCUCUCUCCAUGUGGUAACAUAUGGGUAUCAGCAUCUCUAGACUCACAUUCUGCCACUUAAGCUAUACUUAGAAACAAUAAUCUUCUUUCUCAGAAAAAUUCAAGCUGCUACCUCGAUUGAUAAACUGCAGCCACUUGUGCAUGGCUUAAACAACUUUAGUCCAUUGUUUCCAAAAUUAUAUUUGCAUGUCACUGGUGCUCCCUGAGAUGAUCUGGUAGUAAGCAAACAUUUAUUAUAAUACAUGCCAGGGGCUAGAGGGGAGGGACGGAUAAAUAGGCAGAACAUGGAGGAUAUUUAGGGAAGUGAAAUUAUUCCGAUAUUAUAUUGGUGAAUGCAUGCUGUUUUACAUUUGUCACAUGUAUAAUUAUGUGUAAAUUUUUAUGCAUAAUAAAAAAUAAGUAGUGCCUCAAAAUUUUUUUUCUUUUGCUUGGGAUGAGGCUGAAAUAGGAAGGAAAGUAGUAUUCAUUUUACAGGAUUAGGGUGAGUUUCAGAUAUGGUGAUCAGGCAUGUUCAUGAUCAUUUUGUACCUUUACGAAUCGAAUUAUCAAACAAGACUUAACCUGUUCCAUGUAGUUGAAGUGCUGUACAGGCAGAAAAAAUCUAGUCACUGUUGUAUACUGAGGGGAAAAUCUUAGGUUAAGUCCCUCAAAGAUUCUGGAAAAAUUUCAUAUGGUAAUUCAUAAGGCAAUUUUUGAAAGGAAGUCAAUAUGUCACAAAUUGAAUGUAACUUUGAAAAUCUUUACCCUACUUUGGAAAAAAGUAUCAUUUUAGUAUAACAUAAAAUGAACUACAUGACUGUCCUCUCCAUGGUUAAAUUCCUUGUCUGCCAACAUUAUAUAACUGACUUUUGUUUCUUCUGAUUUGUUUUCAUGCAGUUAAUUUUCAAGAGGAAGAGCUUCCUUCCUAAAUUUGAUUCAAAUCUAUUCCAGGAACAAACAGAAGCUUAAAGUUUCUUUUCACAGUUUCUUUUAAGGCGCCACUUUUGUUUCUCUGUGGUUUCAUUAUGAGAAGUAACUCAAAGUGGAAGAAGAUUGUUGUAAUGUAUUGCAUUUCUAUACUUGAGAGAGUUUUUAAGUUCUUCAGAUAAGUAUGGUAUGUGGUUGCAAGGUAAUUUUCACUUAUUUGCAAUAAUACAAAUUUGUGAAUUUCUGUUAUUUGUUAGCUACACAGUUUAUAGUAUUUUGUUACAGCAGGCCCAACAGAAUAAGAGAGACAAUAAGCAGAUUCUGGGAAAAUGGCAGAGUAGGAAGAACCAGGAAUCUCUCUCCUGACCUACCCAACUAAUGCAGUGGCAGAAUAUGACUUAACUAUCUUGGAACUCUGGAGUAAUCUAAGGUUCACAAUUUCCAGAGGAAGGCUUAGGUUGUGUAUUAGUUUGUUCUUACGCUGUUAUGAAGAAAUACCUGAGACUGGAUGAUUUAUGAAGGAAAGAGGUUUAAUUGACACACAAUUCCACAUGGGUGGGGAGGCCUCAGGAAACUUAUAAUCAUGGUAGAAGACAAAGGGGAAGCGAGGACCUUCUUCACAUGGUGGCAAGAGAGAGAAGAGUGAAGGAAAAACUUCCAAACACUUAUAAAACCAUCAGAUCUUGCGAGAACUCACUAUCAUGAGAACAGCAUGGGAGAAACUGCCCCCAUGAUCCAAUCACCUCCCUCCCUUGACAUGUGAUGAUUACAGGUGCUUCCCUCGAGGUGUGGGGAUUACAGUUUGAGAUGAGAUUUGGUGGGGACACAGAGCCAAACCAUAUCAUUCCACCUCUGGCCCCUCCCAAAUCUCAUGUCUUUUCACAUUUCAAAACCGAUCAUGCCUUCCCAACAGUCCCUCAAAGUCUUAACUCAUUUCAGCAUUAACUCAAAAGUCCACAGUCCAAAGUCUCAUCUGAGACAAGGCAAGUCUCUUCCACCUAUAAGCCUGUAAAAUUGAAAGCAAGUUAGUUACUUCCUAAAUACAAUGGGAGGACAGGCCUUGGGUAAAUGCUCCCAUUCCAAAUGGGAGAAAUUAACCAAAACAAAGGGGCGACAGGCCCCAUGCAAGUCUGAAAUCCAGCAAGGCAGUCCUUAAAUCUUAAAGCUCCAAAAUGAUCUUUUUUGACUCCAUGUCUCACACCCAGGACACACUGAUGCAAAGAGUGGGCUCCCAUGGCCUUGAGUAGCUUCUUCACAGGCUGGCAUUGAGUGCCUAUGGCUUUUUUAGGUGCACGGUGCAAGAAGGAGGUGAAUCUACCAUUCUUGGGUCUGGAGAACAGUGACCCUCUUCUCACAGCUCCCCUAGGCAGUGCCCCAGUGGGGACUCUGUGUGGGGGCUCCUACCCCAUAUUUCCCUUCCACACUGCCCUAGCAGAGGUUUUCCAUGAGGGCUCUGCCCCUGUAGCAGACCUCUGCCUGGCCAUCCAGGCAUUUUUAUACCUCCUUUGAAAUCUAGGCAGACAUUCCCAAACCUCAAUUCUUGACUACCAUGUACCCACAGGCCUAACACUACAGGGAAGCUGCCAAGGUCUGGGGCUUGUACCCUCUGAAGCCACAGCCUGAGCUGUACAUUGGCUCCUUUUAGCUAUGGCUGGAGCUAAAGUGGCUGGGAUGCAUCAUACCAAGUCCCAAAGCUGCACACAGCAGUGGGGGCCUGGGCCUGGCCCAAUAAAUCAUUUUUAACCUCCUAGGCCUCCAGGCCUGUGAUGGGAGGAGCUGCCGCCAAGAUCUCUGACAGGCUCUGGAGAUAUUUUCCCCAUUGUCUUUGUGAUUAACAUUGGGAUCCUCAUUACUUAUGCUAAUUUUUGCAGCCAGUUUGAAUUUCUCCCCAGAAAAUGGGUUUUUCUUUUCUACUGCAUGGUCAGGCUGCAAUUUUUCCAAACUUUUAUGCUCUGCUUCCCUUUUAAACGUAAGUUCCAAUUUCAGGUCAUCUCUCUCAAGUUCAAAGUUCCACAGAAAUCUAGGGCAGGGGCAAAAUGUCACCAGUCUCUUUGCUAAAGCAUAGCAAGAGUGACUUUUCUCCAUUUCUCAAUAAGUUAUUAAUCUCCAUCUGAGACCACCUCAGCCUGGACUUCAUUGUCCAUCCAUAUCAUUAUCAGCAUUUUGGUCAAAACCAUUCAACAAGUCUCUAGGAAGUUCCAAACUUUCCCACAUCUUCCUGUCUUCUUCUGAGCCCUCCAAAUUGUUCCAAUCUCUAACCAUUACCCAGUUCCAAAGUUGCUUCCACAUUUUUUUGUAUUUUUGUAGCAGUACCCCACUACCUUGGUACCAAUUAACUGUAUUAGUCUGUUUUCACACUGCUAUAAAGAAGUACCUGAGACUGGGUAAUGUAUAAAGGAAAGGGGUUUAAUUGAAUCACUGUUCCACAUGGCUGGGGAGGCCUCAGGAAGCUUACAAUUAUGGCAGAAGGGGAAACAGCCACCUUCUUCACAAGGAAGCAGGAGAGAGAGCACACAGGAAAAAACUGCCACUUUUAAAACCAGCAGAUGUCAUAAGAACUCACUCAUUAUCAUGAGAACAGCAUGGGGGAAACCACCCCCAUGAUCCAUUCACCUCCCUCCCUUGACAUGUGGGAAUUACAUGUUCCUCCCUCAACACAAAUAGGGAUUAUAAUUCAAGAUUCGAUUUGUCUGGGGACACAGAGCCAAACAAUAUCAGGUUGUAAAUUGCAGUUAGUUUCAGUCAUUGUCAGCUGUAGCCAUCCCUUACCCUCAGCGGCUUGGCAGGCAGCUGUGCAGAUGAUCCUGGAGUAGCUUACACAUAGCUUUGCCCAGUGUGGACAAAGGAAUGCUGUACUCUAAUUAUUGGGGAUCUGUGCUCUAAAUUGUUGCUUCUAAACAUAGAAGUACAGAAAAAGGAAACCACUGUUGCAUGUUCUCUUAUUGUUGCCCCCCUCCCCCACCGACCCCACUUCCCCCACCCUCUAGUGACUUCCAGGAAAUUUGAAAGGCAAGUGCUUUUUCCCCACUUUCAUUUUUCUCCUUUCUUUUCUGGAGGGUCAGACAUUAAGGACUAGGACAUUUGAAAUUAAGUCACCACAUAAACCCGGGGAAAGGGGUACAGACUCAGAAAACACUUGAGAAGACCUUACGUUUGCACCUCAGGCUAAUGCUCAGCACACAGAUAGCCUACAACCACCCCACAAAAACCAACCCCAAAACAAAACUCGGCAAGUCCUGGGAAGGGAGAGAAUCUGAUUUUUAAAGUUAUCACAUUACUAGACCCAAAUGUUCAGUUUUGAACAAAAAAAUCACAAGGUAUAUGUAUUGGUCCAUUUUCAUGCUGUUGAUAAAGACAUACCUGAGAUUCAGCAAUUUACGAAAGAAAGAGGCUUCUUAGACUUACAGUUCCAAAUGGCUGGGGAGGCCUUACGAUCAUGGCGGAAGGCAAGGUGGAGCAAGUCACAUCUUACGUGGAAGGCAGCAGGCAAAAAAAUAACUUGUGCAGGGAAACUCCCGUUUUUAAAACCAUGAGAUCUUGUGAGUCCCAUUCACUGUCAAAAGAACAGCACAGGAAAGACCCACCCCUGUUGAUUCAGUCAUCUCCCAUCGGGUCCCUCUCAUAACACAUGGGAAUUAUGGGAGCUACAAGAUGAGAUUUGGGUGGAGACACAGAGCCAAACUGUAUCAGUAUACAAAGAAGCAGUAAAGCAUGGACCAUUCAAAGGAAAAAAAGAAAUCAACAGAAACUUCCUUGAAAAGACCUGAUGGCUGGUGAAUCUACCAGACAUAAAAACAACGGUCUUAAAGAUGCUCAGAGAACUAGAGGAAGAUGUAGAGAAGGUCAGGAAAACAACACAUGAACAGGACGUAUCCCAUGACGCUCAUCCAAAUGAAACCAUUUGGUGGGGUGCAACCCCAGAAUCACGAUGGGUGCCUUGUGUACAGGAGGCCAAACUUUAUAUAAGUAUUGUACAUUUAGCAGUGGGAACUACAAUCCCUGGCCAUGGUAAAGGUGCUAGAGGAAUCCACAAUUAAGUGCAUGGCAACUUUCCAUGUGACAGUGUUAGUUUUGAAUCUCGCAGUGUCACCUGUCAUUCUUGCCCACAACUGGAAAUGACAGUGACCCCAGUGUCCCCAGUGUUCAAGAGACUCAUAAUAGUUUGUGUAGUACCCUUUUCCCCUGCCUCUCAAACUAGGGCACAGGCGUUCAGUUCCCACUGGUGGCCCCAAAUCUUGGCCCCAUCUUUAGUCUGUCUUCUCCAAAGAUGUUAGCUCAGGAUAUAAUGGUGGAAGUGGUUCCUUUUCAAGUAGUUUCUCUCUGGCACCCACCAAUGCCUCUGCUGUUUUGAACCCUUCAAGUGUUGGUGGGAACACUCAGGGCAGAGAACCAGUCAGCAAAAUCAACUCAGUCUAACAAGCAUUCCUCUUGCGGUUCAAUUGCUUGAACCAAUCGUUUAACAUUAAGAUCUCAGGAUUUGGGCUGGGCGCUAGUGGCUCAUGCCUGUAAUCCCAGAACUUUGGGAUCUGCUGCACAGAUCAACCCAUCACCUAGGUAUUAAGCCCAGCAUCCAUUAGCUAUUCUCCCUGAUGCCCUCCCUUCCCCAUCCCCUGACAGGCCCCAGUGUGUGUUGUUCCCUGCCAUGUGUCCAUGUGUUCGCAUUGUUCAGCUCCCACUUCAGGCCGAGGCGGGCGGAUCACGAGGUCAGGAGAUCGAGACCAUCCUGGCUAACACGGUGAAACCCUGUCUUUAAUAAAAAUACAAAAAAUUAGCCAGGCGUGGUGGCAGGCAUCUGUAGCCCUAGCAACUCAGGAGGCUGAGGCAGGAGAAUGGCAUGAACCCAGGAGGCAGAGCUUGCAGUGAGCCAAGAUUGUGCCACUGCACUCCAGCCUGGGUGACAGAGCGAGACUCCGUCUCAAAAAAAAAAAAAUCUCAGGAUUCAUUACAGAAAUGCAAAGCAAAAUGACAAUGAAAUACCAUCUCAUGCCAGUCAGAAUGGCGAUUAUUAAAAAAUCAAGAAACAACAGAUUUGGCAAGGUUGCAGAGAAAAAGGAAUGCUUUUACACUGUUGGUAGGAGUGUAAAUUCGUUCAACCAUUUUGAAAAAUGUGGUGAUUCUUCAAAGAUCUAGAGGCAAAAAUACCAUUUGACCCAGCAAUCCCAUUAUUGGGUAUAUACCCAAAGGAAUAUAAAUAAUUCUAUUAAUAUUAUAAAGAUAUAUGCACAUGUAUGUUUAUUGCAACACUAUUCACAAUAGCAAAGACAUAGAUUCAACACAAAUGCCCAUCAAUGAUAGACUAGUUAAAGAAACUAUGGUGCAUAUACAUCAUGGAAUACUAUGCAGCCAUAAAAAGGAAUAGGAUCAUGUCCUUUGCAGGGACAUGAAUGGAGCUGGAAACCGUUAUUCUCAGCAAACUAAUGCAGGAACAGAAAGCCAAACACCACCUGUACUCACUUAUAAGUAGGAGCUGAACAAUGUGAAUACAUGGACACAUGGCAGGGAACAACACACAAUGGGGCCUGUCGGGGUAGGGAAGGGAGGGCAUCAGGGAGAAUAGCUAAUGGAUGCUGGGCUUAAUACCUAGAUAAUGGGUCGAUCUGUGCGGCAAACCACCAUGGCACACGUUUACCUAUGUGACAAACCUGCACAUCCUGCACAUGUACCCCUGAACUUAAAAUAAAAGUUGAAGAAGAAAAAAAGAGGAACGUGAUAACCUUCAAAAAAGUCUCAAGAUCCAUAAAUGCUUGAGGGGAUGGGUACCACAUCUUUCAUGAUGAGAUUAUUAUGCAUUGCAUGCCUAUAUCAAAACAUCCCACAUACCCCAUAAAUAUGUACGCCUACUAUGUACCCACAACAAUUAAAAUAAAAAAAUAUAAAAAACAAAGAAAAAGAGAAAAAAAUAAAAUAAAAAUUUAAAAUAAAAACAAAAGAUUUCAGUUUCCUCCCUCAGCUCAUACUGAUCCCUCAGUUGUUCAAUAGGGAUCCCAUCUGUCUCUUCCUUAGCCACCAUGCUUAAGCAGCCACCAUGCUUAACAGCCAUAGCCACACGACUCUUCCCUUGGGUCCAGGGCAGCCUGAGGCCUUCCUUUUCUGUGGCUCCUUUUAUCUUUUAGUGGGCUCCUGAUGGUGGUUUGGAGCUCCAUUUGCUAUGUGAUGAGGGAGUAGCCACCACUCACCACUGUGGCUGUGUUUUUGGCAGCGCCCCACAUGGGCACAUUAUGGUACAGUUUUCCAACGAUGUCCCCCGUAGUCAUUCCUAGGGAGACUAAGAGGGUUAAUGGAGCCCACCUGUUGGAUGCCCCCAUUUUAUUAAGUCGUGUAUUUGCUGUCAAGCAGUGGUACAUCAUCUAAAUCCCCUUCUGGAUUGAUAGAGCCAUAGAGGAGGCUCCUGGGGCUCUCACCAAGUCAAAGGGUGCUUGAAAGUCUUUCUAGAAUUGUUUCAAUUUAGGAAGAUCACCAGGUUUCAAGCAGAUUGGUUUGUCACCAGAUUGGUUUGUCACCUGUCCAAUCCUGAGGAGUUGGCCUAUUCAAUGUGGGCAAAGAUCCAUUAUAACAAUUAAUCCCAUCCUCUCUCAUCUGGUCCAG
RNAcentral lists this long non-coding RNA (18799 nucleotides) under Homo sapiens (human). Its description in RNAcentral is "non-protein coding LINC02068:13". The record is from RNAcentral. Lineage: Eukaryota; Metazoa; Chordata; Mammalia; Primates; Hominidae.